This is a long non-coding RNA of Podarcis muralis (Common wall lizard), 328 nucleotides long. RefSeq lists it as uncharacterized. NCBI's taxonomy places the organism in Eukaryota, Metazoa, Chordata, Lepidosauria, Squamata, Lacertidae. The record is from RefSeq and is a predicted model, not a curated record.
UCUCCCCCAUUUGUGAUUCCCAGCAACAUGCCUCCCAACAGUGGAGGCAAUCACUGGCUUGAAAAUCAGUGAGUUCCACUUGAAAAAAAACUUCACUUGCGCCUUCUGGUACCACUUCAAAUGGAUUCUGAAACGUUAUCAUUUCCUUUCUGCGCUUCUGGCAAUCAGUGAUCCUGUUCUGAAACCCCACCUGCAGUAGGUUCCAUCUUUCAACAUGGAAUUGUGAAUUUCCGUCCUCAGAUUUAGUUUGUUACUGCAUGAAAUGUUUGAACAGCUAUGUUUACUAACGUGCUUCAUAAAAUAAAAUAAAAAAACCGUUUUGCUUCCA